Pelobates cultripes (western spadefoot toad) is the source of this 555-nucleotide non-coding RNA. The record is from the annotation of a GenBank genome assembly. Lineage: Eukaryota; Metazoa; Chordata; Amphibia; Anura; Pelobatidae.
UUUUUUAAAUCAACGUCUACAUUUCUGUGUUUUCCAAACAAAUAAUAAUCAUUAAGUUCUUUUUCCUUCUUUGUUCAGAUUUCAUGAAGCCCCUGUGACCUCCGCUGCCCACAUUGAAAGCCUUGGAGGAACAGAAGGAGGCAGGGAUAAAUCGCGGGAAAAGCAAGAUUAUGUGAAUGCAGAGCAAUAGUGUGAUCGAGGAUUAGUAAAAACGCCCAUUGAGAGAAGGUGAUUUUAUCUCUACUUAUUACAUGGCUAAACCCCAUCGAUCAAUUGAAACAUAACGGUGGUAACCUGAAAAGAUUAAAAAAACCUGCCAGCUCUUCAAGAUAUUUUGAUAACUUGUUGUAUAAAUCUUCAAGUUUUCUAAUUUUUGCAAUGGGAGGAGGAAGGAAUUUCUUAAGCUGUUCAAUGUCUUUCUUAAGGGCACGGAGGACACUUUUAAUAAAAGAUAUAGCGUUCUGAACUGUAGUAAACGGAAUGCAUGUUGUGCUGAUAGAAGUCGUGUCGGUGGUGGUCUCACUCGUUGUCCCGGUAGUGGCUGUGACUGCAUCU